UACGUAGGGGCCGAGCGUUGUCCGGAAUUACUGGGCGUGAAGCGCGCGCAGGCGGCCCCGCGCGUCCGGGGUGAAAGCCCCGGGCUCAACCGGGGAGCGUCGUCGGGGACGGCGGGGCUUGAGGGCGGGAGGGGCCGGUGGAAUUCCUGGUGUAGUGGUGAAAUGCGUAGAGAUCAGGGGGAACACCCGUGGCGAAGGCGGCCGGCUGGACCGACCCUGACGCUGAGGCGCGAAGGCGUGGGGAGCGAACGGG
This 253-nucleotide ribosomal RNA is filed under the name uncultured bacterium. RNAcentral's name for it is "partial 16S ribosomal RNA". It matches the Rfam family "Bacterial small subunit ribosomal RNA", at positions 524 to 776 of the family's 1533-position model. The record is from RNAcentral.